CCUACGGGUGGCAGCAGUGGGGAAUAUUGCACAAUGGGCGCAAGCCUGAUGCAGCCAUGCCGCGUGUGUGAAGAAGGCCUUCGGGUUGUAAAGCACUUUCAGCGGGGAGGAAGGCGGUGAGGUUAAUAACCUCAUCGAUUGACGUUACCCGCAGAAGAAGCACCGGCUAACUCCGUGCCAGCAGCCGCGGUAAUACGGAGGGUGCAAGCGUUAAUCGGAAUUACUGGGCGUAAAGCGCACGCAGGCGGGCUGUCAAGUCGGAUGUGAAAUCCCCGGGCUCAACCUGGGAACUGCAUUCGAAACUGGCAGGCUAGAGUCUUGUAGAGGGGGGUAGAAUUCCAGGUGUAGCGGUGAAAUGCGUGGAGAUCUGGAGGAAUACCGGUGGCGAAGGCGGCCCCCUGGACAAAGACUGACGCUCAGGUGCGAAAGCGUGGGGAGCAAACAGGAUUAGAUACCCCUGUAGUC
RNAcentral lists this ribosomal RNA (465 nucleotides) under uncultured Klebsiella sp. RNAcentral describes it as "bacterial SSU rRNA". It matches the Rfam family "Bacterial small subunit ribosomal RNA", at positions 338 to 795 of the family's 1533-position model. The record is from RNAcentral. Lineage: Bacteria; Pseudomonadati; Pseudomonadota; Gammaproteobacteria; Enterobacterales; Enterobacteriaceae.